AGCGAACGCUGGCGGCAGGCCUAACACAUGCAAGUCGAACGAACCUUUCGGGGUUAGUGGCGGACGGGUGAGUAACACGUGGGAACGUGCCUUUAGGUGCGGAAUAACUCAGGGAAACUUGUGCUAAUACCGAAUGUGCCCUUCGGGGGAAAGAUUAAUCGCCUUUAGAGCGGCCCGCGUCUGAUUAGCUAGUUGGUUGAGGUAAUGGCUCCCCAAGGCGACGAUCAGUAGCUGGUCUGAGAGGAUGAUCAGCCACAUUGGGACUGAGACACGGCCCAAACUCCUACGGGAGGCAGCAGUGGGGAAUCUUGCGCAAUGGGCGAAAGCCUGACGCAGCCAUGCCGCGUGAAUGAUGAAGGUCUUAGGAUUGUAAAAUUCUUUAACCGGGGACGAUAAUGACGGUACCCGGAGAAGAAGCCCCGGCUAACUUCGUG
Molecule: ribosomal RNA, 434 nt
Filed under: uncultured bacterium
Lineage: Bacteria
Description: partial 16S ribosomal RNA
Rfam family: Bacterial small subunit ribosomal RNA
Source: RNAcentral